This 359-nucleotide long non-coding RNA is filed under the name Homo sapiens (human). RNAcentral describes it as "HSALNT0023419". Lineage: Eukaryota; Metazoa; Chordata; Mammalia; Primates; Hominidae. The record is from RNAcentral.
UGCAAGCAAAGGGUAGGAGCAGCCCUAGAAGAAGGCACACAUUCAUUCCUCGGGUUGCAGCCUGUUUACAGAGGGAGAGAAUCUCUGCUGCAGUUACCCAGCAUCCAGGGGUCCAUGCUCUGCCAGCGUCACUCAGCCACGUGAGAUGGGGUGAUUGGACCAAAGGAGAUACAUGGUGUUUUAUUUAGUGAUGGGAACAAGCACAGAGAACAUUUUCACCAUGGAUAUGUAUGUACUUGUAAGAAGCAGCUGGGUGGUUCCUUCAGCAAUCUGCUGAGCUGUGGCGAUUACAUCACACACUGGUGCAAAGGCCUUGAACCAUUAAUGUGCUGCCUCUGCGAGGGUGACCAGGAUUCCAG